Molecule: long non-coding RNA, 1534 nt
Organism: Antechinus flavipes (yellow-footed antechinus)
Lineage: Eukaryota; Metazoa; Chordata; Mammalia; Dasyuromorphia; Dasyuridae
Exons: 2
Source: RefSeq, a predicted model, not a curated record
GGCCGGCUGACAGCUGGAUUGGUCUCCGAGGCUAAGAAGUGUUGGCGAAGCUGAGCGGACCGGAGCAUGCGGAGAAGGGCAACGAGCUGGGGUUCACAGGAAGGACAGAAGUUAAUGUUCUGCCACCCGCCGCGGAUCUGUUCUUUGGCCCCAGGACUUGUAUUUCAGCUCUGGUUUCCUCCCCGAUCUUGGAGUCCUUUCCCUGCUCUACCCCCUUAGCCUCCGGGACGAACUGAGUCCUGGCAAUGGCAAAGGCGGGAGGGCCCGUAGGAAAGCAGAUCAUGGAGGAUUCCCAGGGGAGUCGUGGACUGGUGCAGCCAUUCUGGAGAACAAGGCGGAAUGGGCUUGGGGGGAGGAGAGGAGGAAGAGCCGUACCCACGUGUGCAAAAUGUUUGUGCCCUUUUUGUAGGGCCAGAAACUGGAACCGGAGCGGCUGCCCAUCAGUGGGAGAAGGGCUGAAUAAGUUCUGGUCUAUGAAUGUUACGGAAUGUUAUGGUUCUGUAAGAAAUGAUCAGGGUGAUUUUAGAGAAGCCUGGAGAGACUUAGAUGAACUAAUACUAAGUGAAGUGAGCAGAAGCAAGAGGACAGUAUACACGGCAAUAACAGGGAUGAUCAACUCUGAUGGACAUGACUUUUUUCCAACAAUGAUUCAGGUCAAUUCCAUUAGAUUUAUGAUGGAGAGAGCCAGUUGCAUCCAGAGAGAGGCCUGGGAACUGAGUGAGGAUCACAACAACAACUUGCAUUUUGUUUUCUUACUCAUUUUUUUCUUUUUUGAUCAGAUUUUUCUUGUGCAGCAAGAUAAUCGUAUAAAUAUGUUUACAUAUAUUGGAUUUAACAUAUAUUUUAACAUGUAUAUCAUAUAUUGGAUUACUUGUCAUCUGGGGAGGGGUUGGGGGGAAGGAGGGGAAAAUUUGGAACACAAGGUUUUGCAAGGGUCAAUGUUGAAAAUAUCCAUGCAUGUGUUUUGAAAAUAAAAAGCUUUAAUAAAUAUAAAUAAAUAAAUAAAAUAACACCUCCUUGGACUAAUCUCUUAACCACCUCAACCCCCUGGUGGCCUAAUAUUAGAAAGUCUCCAACCCCUACUGAAGGAGAAAUAAAAUGGGACAAAUUGUUCAAGGACAUAGUAAAGCAAAUGACUUCAUCUACUGAUGUAACAAUUAUUUGUCCUUGUAGAAGAGACGCUGCAAAUUUGUUUGUUGACUUCUUUCAAAAUUGUAAAAACGAUUUGGAUACUUCUCAAUUAUCUCUGGUCCUUGAGUAGGAAAGACUUUCUUGUAAAAAGUUAUGCCAGUUGCAUUCCAAAUACAGUACUCCCCUUUUCUCCCUUAGAUGAUUUCCAUCUUUUUUUUAUCCUACUUCUUCUGUUUUAGUUAUCUAUCCUAAGUUUCAAGAAAAUGCUGUUGAUUGGCUGUGUGGACUCUUUUAAGGGGACUUGAACAUUUAAGGGGAAAAAAUAUCUUUACCCUAGGAAACGGCAGGCUACUAUACAAUGAGCAGACUUCCUUAGUAUAAUAAAAAGUCUCUUGGCUUUCCA